RNA transcript from Helianthus annuus (common sunflower), 4031 nucleotides. It is a transcript of the gene named eIF-2-alpha kinase GCN2, with no coding region annotated. NCBI's taxonomy places the organism in Eukaryota, Viridiplantae, Streptophyta, Magnoliopsida, Asterales, Asteraceae. The transcript has 29 exons. The record is from RefSeq and is a predicted model, not a curated record.
UUCCAUAAACCCUUUCUUUACACUAUAAAUACCAAAACAAACAAAUCAAUUUGAAAUCUGUUUAUUCAUUCGUUAGGUCAUACAUACAUACAUACAUACCUGAUUUGUUUCGAUUGGCAUGAUUCUUCGUUUCCUGCGAGUGAAUCAGAAGUCAAAAAGAAGAAAACAUGGGGCACAGUUCCAAGAAGAAGAAGAAGCGUGCCGGAACAGGGCGGCGUAGGCCACCGUCCGAUCACACUUCCAUCGACGGCGUUGGCGGCGAGCUUCUCUCCGAUGAGCUUACGGCACUGUGUGCUAUAUUACAAGAAGACUAUGAUGUUGUUUCAGAAUCUCCACCCCAAAUCAAGAUUAAGCUAAGACCGUACUCACAAGAUUCAGGCUACGAGGAUGUGGAUGUUUCUGCUUUUCUUUCAAUAAGGUUUUUACCUGGAUACCCUUACAAGUAUCCGAAGCUUACAAUAAUUCCAGAAAAAGGGUUAUCAAAAUCUGAUGCAGAUAAUCUUUUGUCCUUGCUUCAUGACCAAGCCAAUUUAAACGCACGAGAAGGACGCGUGAUGAUUUAUAACUUGGUAGAGGCCGCACAAGAAUUCUUGUCUGAAGUUGUCACAAUAGACCAACCACAUUUAUCUCGAAAGAAUGCUACAGUUUCAUGUGACAGGCCUUCAAAGGGGCCUUUCGUAUAUGGUUUUCUCGAUCUUUUUAUAGGCUCUGGGGAGUCGUGGCACUGGGGACUUUCAGUUGAAGAGAGCAACAGCACAAUCGUUGCCUUAGAUAACCUGAACAACGGUGCUCAGCCUUCAUGGGAAAAAGUCAACCCAACCUUGAAGAUGGGGGUGAUUGAGGGUGGUCAACUAAAAGUCAAAUCUACUGAAAGACUUGAUAUUCUGGAAGAAGAUGAUAGUAAGAGUACUGAUUCUCUUGCAUCACAAUCUGCAGAACCAGUGGAGAAUGUUAGCGUUGGUGAGGAUUAUCCUCUAGCAGAGGAUACAGAAGAAGAAACUGAUUACGACGAGACUGAAAGUGAUAUAUUAGAAUCAGCAUCAUCUGUGGAUCACCAUCAAAUUUCACAUACUGUUGAGAGAGAUUUGAUUCUGGCUCAUUUACUGCGACUUGCUUGUGCUCCUAAAGGUCCACUUGCUGAUGCCUUAACCGAUGUAACAUCGGAGUUGGUUAACCUAGGGAUUGUUUCAGACCGGGUGGCAGAUUUAGCUACGGGUUCAUCAUCACUUUUUGACAGAAGCUUUAACCAAGCCUUUGGAAAUCGUAUGGUAGCCUCAAAGAUAUCGAAUUUUUGGAAAACUGCCGCUGAUUCCAAAGGGCAGCAUACCUCACCUACAUUAAGCUCACGGUAUUUGAAUGAUUUUGAGGAGCUUCAACCCAUUGGCCAUGGUGGAUUUGGUCAUGUAGUGCUAUGCAAGAAUAAGCUGGACGGAAGACAGUAUGCUGUUAAGAAGAUUCGACUAAAGGACAAAAGUCAACCUUUAGAUGACAGAAUUUUGAGAGAAGUAGCCACUCUUUCCCGAUUGCAGCACCAACAUGUUGUACGUUACUAUCAGGCAUGGUUUGAAACAGGAGAUGCUGGUUUUUAUGAUGAUGCCACCUGGGGUUCCAGGACUGCAGCUAGUUCUAGUUACAGUUAUAUAGAUCAUACUUCAACUGAUGUCAUAGGGCAAGACAACAAAGUCGGAACAUAUCUCUAUAUUCAAAUGGAAUACUGCCCAAGGACUCUUCGGCAAAUGUUUGAAUCUUAUAGUCAUUUUGAUAAGAAGGAUGCAUGGCACUUGUUUCGUCAAAUUGUAGAAGGCCUGGCCCACAUACAUAGUCAAGGAAUUAUUCACCGUGACUUGACUCCAAAUAAUAUUUUUUUUGAUGCUCGCAGUGAUAUUAAAAUUGGGGAUUUUGGUCUUGCUAAGUUCUUGAAGCUGGAGCAGUUGGAUCAGGAUGUCGAUCCUGCUGAAACAACUGGAGUGUCGGUUGAUGGUACUGGUCAGAUUGGUACUUAUUUUUAUACUGCACCAGAAAUCGAGCAACGAUGGCCGAAAAUUAACGAGAAAGCUGAUAUGUAUAGCUUAGGGAUUGUAUUUUUUGAGCUCUGGCAUCCGUUUAGCACUGGAAUGGAAAGACACAUUGUUCUUUCUGACUUAAAAAAGAAGGGCGAACUUCCAUCAGAUUGGGUUGCUGAGUUCCCUGAACAGGCGGCUUUAUUGCGCCGCAUGAUGUCAUCAAGCCCAUCGGACCGCCCCUCCGCCAAUGAACUCCUUCAACAUGCUUGUCCUCCAAGAAUGGAAUCUGAGUUGCUAGACAAUAUUUUACGAACAAUGCAUAAUUCUGAGGACACUAGCAUUUAUGAUAAAGUUGUGAAUGCUAUUUUCAGUGAAGAGAUAUUGAGCACUAAAAUCCAAGAUAACGAUACGGAAACACUGAAAUUAGGUCGAAAUGUUACCUCAUCUAUACAACAUACAGAUUUAGACACUGAAAUUCGUGAUCUGGUUUCGGAGGUAUCUGCUGCAGUGUUUAGGUUACAUUGUGCAAAGCAUUUGGAAACAAUUCCAAUGCGUUUGCUAGGAGAUUCUGUACAGUUUAACAGGAAUAACGUUAAGCUUUUGACAAACGGUGGAGACAUGCUAGAACUCUGCCAUGAGCUACGUUUGCCCUUUAUAAAUUGGGUUGUUUUAAACCAGAAAUCUACUUUCAAACGAUUCGAAAUUGGUUAUGUAUAUCGUAGAUCAAUUGGUCAUUCCCCACCAAAUCGAUAUCUCCAGGGUGACUUUGAUGUUAUUGGAGGCGAUUCUGCAAUCACAGAGGCCGAGGUUAUCAAGGCUACAAUGGACAUUAUAACCCGUUUUUUCCAUCCGGAAUCAUGUGACAUACAUCUGAAUCACGGGGAUUUAUUAGAAGCAAUUUGGUCAUGGAUUGGGAUUAAAGCAGACCAUAGACAAAAAGUAGCAGAACUUUUGUCUCUCUUGGGCUCCUUGCGCCCCCAGUCCACUGAAAGGAAAACAAAGUGGGUGGUAAUAAGACGGCAACUUAGACAGGAACUUAAUAUCACAGAAGGCGCUGUCAAUAAGUUGCAGACGGUGGGUUUACGGUUUUGUGGAAGUGCGGAUCACGCCCUCCCUAGAUUGAGAGGUGCACUUCCCUCUGUGCAGAUACACUUACACGAAAGGCGCUUGAUGAACUUUCUCAGCUAUUUAAUUAUUUACGGAUCUGGAAAAUUGAUAAACAUGUUUUCAUUGAUCCUCUUAUGCCACCCACCGAGGGUUAUCACCGGGACUCGUUUUUCCAGAUUUAUCUAAGGAAGGAUAAUACUCUCGGUUCACAUACAGAAGGGACAUUGCUUGCCGUUGGUGGUCGUUAUGAUUAUCUCCUUCACCGUAUGUGGCAAUCGGAAUAUAAAUCAAAUCCUCCAGGAGCAGUUGGGACCAGUCUUGCUUUAGAAACCAUUAUUCACCAUUCUUCUGUUGAUGUUUACAGACCCUUUAGAAAUGAUUCCAGCAGAAGUGUUCUUGUUUGUUCAAGAGGGGGAGGGGGUUUACUAGAAAAGCGAAUGGAGCUAGUUACCGAAUUGAGGGAGGACGAUAUCAAGGCAGAGUUUGUUCCAACUUUGGAUCCAAGCCUCACGGAACAAUACGAGUACGCAAACGAGAAUGACAUUAAAUGUCUGAUUAUCAUUUCCGACACCGGUGUUUCUCAAAAUGGAUCUGUCAAGAUUCGUCAUCUUGAGCUUAAGAAGGAGAAGGAAGUAAGCCGAGAAUCGCUGGCCAAUUUUUUAUCAGACGCAAUGGCGUCUCAGUUUAGAAACCCAUCUAUAUGGAACUAGAUGCAGAAGAUUAUAUUUUUUUACACCAAAUUUCAUAAAUGUAACCUUUUAACUCAUUCAUCAGUUAGUUUUUACAAGUUUUAAGAUGUGUACAAAGUUGAGACAGUUACUCUUUGGAUAUUUUCGGGACCGGGACGGUAUCAGGACGGGUUUGGGAUUUGCUCAUCCCUAGUUAAUGACUUCUGAGAUAUUAUUAAGUCUUCAUUACAAA